This 500-nucleotide ribosomal RNA is filed under the name uncultured bacterium. RNAcentral describes it as "partial 16S ribosomal RNA". It matches the Rfam family "Bacterial small subunit ribosomal RNA", at positions 30 to 523 of the family's 1533-position model. The record is from RNAcentral.
AUUGAACGCUGGCGGAAUGCUUUACACAUGCAAGUCGAACGGCAGCACGGGGGCAACCCUGGUGGCGAGUGGCGAACGGGUGAGUAAUACAUCGGAACGUGCCCAGUCGUGGGGGAUAACGCAGCGAAAGCUGUGCUAAUACCGCAUACGAUCUACGGAUGAAAGCGGGGGACCGUAAGGCCUCGCGCGAUUGGAGCGGCCGAUGGCAGAUUCGGUAGUUGGUGGGGUAAAGGCCCACCAAGCCGACGACCUGUAGCUGGUCUGAGAGGACGACCAGCCACACUGGACAUGAGACACGGUCCAGACUCCUACGGGAGUCAGCAGUGGGGAAUUUUGGACAAUGGGCGCAAGCCUGAUCCAGCCAUGCCGCGUGUGUGAAGAAGGUCUUCGGAUUGUAAAGCACUUUAAGUCGGGAGGAAGGGCUGUAGGCUAAUACCUUGCAGUUUUGACGUUACCGACAGAAUAAGCACCGGCUAACUUCGUGCCAGCCGCCGCAGUAA